Molecule: long non-coding RNA, 345 nt
Filed under: Brassica napus (rape)
Lineage: Eukaryota; Viridiplantae; Streptophyta; Magnoliopsida; Brassicales; Brassicaceae
Description: long non-coding RNA (BNAP_LNC005682)
Source: RNAcentral
UUUAAGGAUGCUUUUUUGGUUAACCAAUUGUGUGUGUUAUGUUAAACACUAAAUCAAAAAAAAUUGUGAGAAAGUGUGACAUGUGAUUUGAAACAAAUUAUGGGAACUUUGUAGCUAUAUUACUUCUAAAUAAAAUAAAAUGGUAGACAAAAUAAUGUGAAAAUAAAAUUUUUAUAAAAUAAUUUUUUGUUUAUUAAUUUUUGGUUUUUAUUAAUCACAAUUAUGUAAUAAAAAGACUUUAGAAAUUUAGAUUAAAACUUAUAGAAUUAUCACUAUAUCUUAAUAAUCUUCUAAGAAUAUGCAAUACCAAGACUUUUGGUUCUACAAAUAUUGAAAAUAUGGAAU